GCCAGACUCCUACGGGAGGCAGCAGUGGGGGAUAUUGCACAAUGGGGGGAACCCUGAUGCAGCGACGCCGCGUGAAGGAAGAAGUAUCUCGGUAUGUAAACUUCUAUCAGCAGGGAAGAAAAUGACGGUACCUGACUAAGAAGCCCCGGCUAACUACGUGCCAGCAGCCGCGGUAAUACGUAGGGGGCAAGCGUUAUCCGGAUUUACUGGGUGUAAAGGGAGCGUAGGCGGCAGUGCAAGUCAGAAGUGAAAUACCGGGGCUCAACCCCGGGGCUGCAUUGGAAACUGGCAGGCUGGAGUGCCGGAGAGGCAGGCGGAAUUCCUAGUGUAGCGGUGAAAUGCGUAGAUAUUAGGAGGAACACCAGUGGCGAAGGCGGCCUGCUGGACGGUGACUGACGCUGAGGCUCGAAAGCGUGGGGAGCAAACAGGAUUAGAUACCCUAGUA
Molecule: ribosomal RNA, 445 nt
Filed under: uncultured bacterium
Lineage: Bacteria
Description: bacterial SSU rRNA
Rfam family: Bacterial small subunit ribosomal RNA
Source: RNAcentral